CGGCCGUAGCGCGGUGGUCCCACCUGACCCCAUGCCGAACUCAGAAGUGAAACGCCGUAGCGCCGAUGGUAGUGUGGGGUCUCCCCAUGCGAGAGUAGGGAACUG
Molecule: ribosomal RNA, 105 nt
Filed under: Salmonella enterica subsp. enterica serovar Heidelberg str. 29169
Lineage: Bacteria; Pseudomonadati; Pseudomonadota; Gammaproteobacteria; Enterobacterales; Enterobacteriaceae
Also listed under: 1 other name
Source: RNAcentral